This is a long non-coding RNA of Oncorhynchus nerka (sockeye salmon), 1635 nucleotides long. RefSeq lists it as uncharacterized. The record is from RefSeq and is a predicted model, not a curated record. The transcript is spliced from 2 exons. Lineage: Eukaryota; Metazoa; Chordata; Actinopteri; Salmoniformes; Salmonidae.
CUAGUGGACGGGACGCUCCUACAACAACAACAGUUAGACACCUUGGUAGCUUUAUAGCAAACAUAGCUACAACAUUCACUCUCUUUACACUGUUUUGGUGUAUAUUAGUCGCUGUGUAUUAACCACACUUCUGUCGAAUGUACUUGUUGGCCCAUUUAAUUAUAUAAUUAUGUUGUUUGUCAGCUAGCUGGUUUGAUAAAUUAGCUUAGAACUAGGCUAGUUGCUAAUGCUAGCUAGCGAACAUCUCCGACCAUAAGUUCACUAAGCUACUCUCCUGCUAAAGAAGAGGAGGUCUUCUGGACGGAGAAAGAAGUUCUCCUGAAAGAGGAGGAGGAAGAGAAGGAUUUUACAAUACAAAAACAAGUAGAGGGUGAGGCUGUUCCCGUGAAAGAAGAAGAGAAAGACGUCUCAGUGAAAGAAAAUGAAGACUCGUUCAGAGUGAAAGAGGAGGUGGAUGUUACAGUAAAAGAAGAGGAAGCGGAGAGAGAGGAGGAUGCAGUUUAUGGAGUGAAAGAGGAGGAUGCAGUUUAUGGAGUGAAAGAGGAGGAUGCAGUUUAUGGAGUGAAAGAGGAGGAUGCAAUUUAUGGAGUGAAAGAGGAGGAUGCAGUUUAUGGAGUGAAAGAGGAGGAUGCAGUUUAUGGAGUUAAAGAGGGGGAGAUGACUGUCACAUCGAAAAAGGAGGAGGACGAAGAGGAGGAAACUGGACAUCUGGGCCCGGUUUCCCCAACGCAUCUUAACGCAUCCUAUGGUUCCAACGGUGAACUCAGCCGUAAGAUGGUUUUGAGAAACCGGGCCGUGAUUAACACUAGAGAGAGAUGUGACUAUCGUGGAUCCUCUGGGGAGCCUCAACAACAUCAUGAAGCUGACGAGGCAGAGAAGAGUCCCUCCCGAUCAGAACACCUCAAGAAACACCAGUGGAGACCAACAGGGAAGAAAUCUCACUGCUGCUCUGACUGUGGGAAGAGUUACUUAAGAUCAAAUUCACUAAAAGUACCAUGAGAAUUCACACAGGAGAGAAACCUUAUAGCUGUGAUCAAUGUGGAAAUAGUUUUACUACAUCUAGCCAUCGGAUUGUACACUAGAGAACACACACAGGAGAGAAACCUUAUAGCUGGAAAAUCCAGGUUCUGAAUUGAAAGAGUGAUAUUUAUAUGAUAUAACAGAAAGUGACUAACACAAAAAGAGCUGUGUUACACUUACAGCAUUGGUGACCCACUUGAAUCAAAAUGUAGCUAGAUGUUUUCUACAAGUUGUCCUCUAACCAAUUGAUGUACACAUUAUUCCCAGAUUCCAUGUGGUUUUUGAGCUGUUAGUUUUAACGGGACAACCUCAUCUCCACACUCUCACACAAAUGAUUUCAACAUGAUAUCGAUGAGUGAUGAAAAAUAAGUGUUGCGUUCCUUUGUUUAACGACCUCUAAAUGUAAAUGCAUCUCUCCAAAAUGUAGCUGACUGUCUUCUGCAGGUUGUCCUCUAACCAGGGAGGUAAAAUAUAUCUCCCAUUUCCAUGUGUUUUUUUAGUUGUGUUAGUUUCAACUGCACCUACAACCUGAUUUGUCCGCUAACCAGUGAUACUUAUUACUUAUACUUAAUACUUAUUUUCCACCAUAAUUUGCAAAUAAAUUCAUUAAAAAUC